Molecule: long non-coding RNA, 632 nt
Filed under: Homo sapiens (human)
Lineage: Eukaryota; Metazoa; Chordata; Mammalia; Primates; Hominidae
Description: non-protein coding lnc-EIF4ENIF1-3:1
Source: RNAcentral
AACUGGGUGGCUUCUGGAAAACAGCUUCCCAAAAAGUAUCAUGUGGGAAAGACUACUUGAAAGGACUGAAAGCCAUAUCUAGUUUGGAAGGGGUUCCCAUAAGUAAACAUCAAGUAAGAUGCAGCAUGUCAUAUUUUUAUCCAUUUCACACUCAAGAUGAAGUUCCCAAGGAUCCCUUCUGUAGCUGCUUCACCGUAUAUACCCUUCCUCAUUCAGCCCAUCCCAAAACAAAUUCUGACAAUGACACAUGAGCUGCAUGUAGCUGACCAGCCUACCAGAUCUUUUAUGCAGUUCGACAUACAAGGUGACACCAAGGUAAGACAAAUGAAGUUCCAGUUUGGGUGCCUCCAUCUCCCUCCCCUGGAUCCUGAUCCAGUGACUGCCAAAACCAGAAAGAACUGGGGUAGGGUGCUUGAUCAUGGGGAACGCUGUUGUGGUUCGUCCGGCAGAUGGGAAAAGGGAAAGGUUUCACUUCUUCACAAUUUGAAUGACAUCCUCAUCCUCCAACGUAUGGUCUUUACCCACUUUCUGAGGAUUGUGUUUCACAGAGAGACCCCAGACCAGAGCACUGCAUGGAAGGGAAAAAGAACAGUCAGUGUAAAUAAUAACCUAGCUUCUGCCCUAUUUGCCUG